AACCGAGAAGAACCUCGUAACUACUUUUCUCGAAACCGAGCUCAGACCUCUGGUAAUUCUUGAAAGAUAAGCCUAAGUUUUAUUUAGCAAAAAAGGUCUGGUUCAACACAGACUAGGGAUUUCUGCGGACUCCGAGUCCCGAUCCUCAUUUUUAAUAUUAAGAACACCCACUUAACUCUUGUUCUUAGUAUUUCCCUUAUCCAUUGAAGAAUGAAUUCUGAGUUCGUGUAAACUGCGUAUCUCGUUGAAAUCUUAAGUAUUUCUUAAUUUUUCGUACGAGGUAUUCAAAUUUCUCGAAUACUCCGGAUUCAAGAUUCAAAAGGACUUAUAUAAAAAUAGAGGGGAAAUAUUCAAGUCUUCAAAAAAAAAAAAAACGAUAAAUAGUUUUUGGGUUUAAAUAAUAAAAACAACAAAGGGGGGCACUAGCCAUCACAACCCCGGAACCAGAUCAUUGACCCUUGACGUCGGGAUCUUGCUGCAUCUCCUCGGGCAGAACGGCAGCUUCGAAGUCCUGGCCAGUCAUGAAACCCUUAUUAGUUCCGAACUCAUCAAUGGCGACAUCAUCUUCGGGAAGAGAUGUCUCUUGCACGGGCUCUGGGGGAGUCGCUACAAAGAGAUGAGCGAACUCAUUUGGUUGAGGUCUGAGAGCGCUUACCUCGCGAGCUUUCUUCUCAGCCUCUUCCUCGUCUUUCUUUACCGACUCUAGUUCGGCUUUUAAGUCCGGAAUCUCUCCCUUCAGAAUCUCCUCAAGAAGUUCUCGGUUCGCCCGAGUCUCGGCAAGACGCGUCCCGAUCAUCUCAUUAUCACUGAUGGCCUUGUAGUAGGUCUCAUUCUUCGAGGCGAGUCCGCUAUAGAGUUCACGGAGCCUCAACCUUUCAUCUUUUUUCGCUGCUGCGAGCUCCUCCUCUCGUUUCUCAGCAGCGAUCUUGCACCAUUCCUCACUUCGCUUAACUUCAGCUUCCAGCGAGGUAAUCUUUUCACAUGCCUCGAGAUACAGGUUCUUCCCGAUCUUCAGCUUCUCGGAAAGAUCAGUCUUGGCGAUGUCAAGAAGGUUGCAGCGACCUUCAGCCUCCAGCAUCCGCUCCCGAAUCUCGUUUGCCUUUGCCACCGCUUUGGCAUUUUCCUCCUCCAUCUCCUUGAGUUGACGGACUUCUUCUUCGAGUUCGGCGACCCGGGCCCUGAGGCCAUCCAGCUCGUUAACUGGAAAGAGCUGGGACUCGUGGCAGGAGAAGGUGGUGUUGUACUCGAGCAUUAACUGUCAAAACAAAGAUUCAUGAGGACGGAAAGAAAAGUUCUUAUUUUUAUAAAAGAGGAGAAGAGUUCAAAGAAUUACCUCUCCGAGUUUAUCAGCGAAGCGAAAGUAGUUCGCCCUGUUGACCUCCUUCAAGUCAUUAAAGGGAGGAAUCCUCAUCCCGACAGGAGUAAAGUUCCUCAUGAAAUCAGCUGGUGACUUCGGAGGAGCUGUUCAAAUAAAAAAAAUGUCAAAAUGAACUCGAAGCGAGAGAGGAAUACGAAGUGACUCUACUUACCAGUAGGGAUCGGAAUCUCCUGACGGACGGAUUCCCGGUUCUCAGAGUCCCGCGAAGGCAGGACAAGAAUCUGAGUUGGCAAAUCGGACUCCGGGGCCCGUUGUGGUUCUUCAUUUUCUUCUGGUUUUGACCCCAGACUGGUUCCAGCAUCCUCGGAAGGAUUUUUCUCGUCGUUCGGACGAGAACGACUCUUGCGUUGAAGGGGAGGAAUUUCAGAUUCCUCGUUCCUGCGUUUCCUUGAGGAGGUUGCACUAUGGCCUCCUUCAGAAAUUUCUUUCUCCCGAGAAGAUCGGGAGGAGCGAGAAUCCGAGAUCCGGAUUAGGUCUUUUCCCGAAGACACUUUCUUUUGAUCACGAUGAUCAGAAGUCUUCGAUUCGGAAACCAGAUCUACGGUACCCGAAUUCUUCCCUUUACCAGAUGAAGAUCUGGAUUUCCCUUCGUCCAAGGCCUUCACCAUCCUGGCCUUAUCUUCUCUCUCUCUCGCUUCUCUCGCUUUUUCCCUUUCCUUCUGGAGCCUCUUCUCUUCGCGAUAGGAAAGAGGAGACAUGUUAGUGGCGACAGUAGGGGAGGAGGGAGGAGUGGAGGAAAUGAGGUCGGAUCGCGAGACAAUUCGAGCACACGAACUCCGGAUGCGUUCGCAAGUGAACAAUUCCCACGACAGGUCGCUGCUACUGCAAAUCUUUACGAAUUGACCCGCAAAAGUAUGAGAAAGCGUUUUCUUCGGAAGUUUAGCUGCAAAAGCAAAAACAUUGACGGAUUAGAAAAAGAAAAAAAAACGAGUGAAAAGCAGCGAAAAACCUAAGGAGCUAUCUACCGGGACGACGAGUCCAUUCACGAACGAAAUAAGCCGUGUUUGGACCAUAAGAAAAUUCGUCUACAGCGAAGAAGAAGUAGGACUUUCUCCAUUGCUCGUCCUUUUCGGGAAAAUCCCCGAAGACUCUGAAAUUACUCCGAGGACUGAGGAAAAAUGUCCCCGGGGUUCGCCCCUUCUUUACUGUGUAAAGAUGGAGUACGUCGGAUAGCGUGAUACGGUAUCCAUUUUCCUCUGCGAGGGUCUGGAGGCACAGGACGGUCCUAACUACAUUUGGACAUAGUUGAGGAAGUGCGAUUCUGAACUCGUGCAUCAAUUCGACCAAAAGGCCGGGAAGCGGAAAAGAUAGCCCGCAUUCCGAAAAGAAGAUUUCAAAAGCGCAAGUGUGACCGGUAGGUGGAGACUCUGGAGAAUCUGUCGGACCCGGAGUAAUCAAGGAGACUUGACGAGGGAUCUGGCAGGCACCUUUCAGCAGAGCCAGUUUUUUAUUGUCAAGAUUCGAAGAAAAAUACUUCCCGAACUCGCCUUCCAUGAUGUGAGUCUCAUUCUGGAUCUUCCUGCUUCGCUUCGGAGCCAUAACUUAAUUAAGGAAGAUGUAGAGACGAAACAAGAUCUGGCGCCAGGGAUUUGGGAAGAUAUUUCAAGAACAACUCAAGAACGCGCUUGAGCAAACUUCGAAGAUCUUCGUGAAAACCCAGAAACCGGAAAGGUUAAGCGGUUGAUGUUCUUCGGAAAACGGUUGCGAUUCAACGGAAUAUCAAGAACACGGCGGAGGAGUUGAAGAACAGCGAACAAAUUCGGAGCAGAGGGCUGAAAAUCUAAGAAAUCUUUUAGAUCUCUGGCCUAAAUCUAGCACGGAACUAAUCUAGAGCGGUGAACUAACACGAAUCCGAAACUGAAUAGCAAGAACUAAGCGUAAUCGGAAGAGUGUUAAGAGGUAAAAGUAGAGAGAAGAGAGUUACCUUUAAAUACGGAAGGAAGCAGAAGCGGUUUGGAGAAGACGACGACGUGUGUGUUUGCAGAACCCGAAGAGUCUAAUGAUUAUAUAGAGGGUCAUUGGGCGGCAAAGCGAGAAACCCUAGGGUCUCGAAGCGUCUUUGUCUUCCCGAGGAAAAUCCCUCGAUCCGCGGGAAAAAAUAUACCUUAGGAUCUCGAAACGUCACUUCGGUCGAAGACCAAAUCCCGGGAAAAGCGGGAUUAACGAUGAAGCCUCCGAGCCUGAGAAAAAGUUCAGCAUCUAAAGUAUUCCGAAGUGUUCACUUCGGAACACUUGGGGGGCAAACUGUUGGUGUUGGAUCUCGCAAGUCGGAUCCGGCCCAUAGAAAAGUGGUGGACGAUGAAACGAAGUGGGCCGUCAGCCCGUUUCAAAAGAUAAAAAGAACGGCCCAGUAAAAGUCGGCUUAGCUCGAGUGAAACGUCGGGAUCUCGCGAAUUAAAUGAAAGGCGGGUCAUACGGGAUUUGCGAGAUUCGGAAGAUUUGAAACGGAAACAUUGAUGAAGGCGAGAUCUGCGGCUUGAUGAACGACUUCGGUUUUGAAUCGCAUGACUAUAAAUAGAGAACUAAAACCAUUGUAAAGGGGGACGAUUUUUUGAGCAAUAAAGGAAUACACAUACUUCACUCUUUUGUUUUCUCUUUGACGAUUGCUGUUCGAAUUAGCAAGGCUAGACGGCCCGAUUUACAUCUCAAAAUUCGUGUUGCGGAUUCCGACAUCCACAUAUAUCACAACAUCAUCAUACGGUCAAAUACAGUGACUACGAACUUUCUAUAGAGUUAAAAUGUUAAGUCUAUUGAUCAAUGAAAGAAAAAACUAUUUACGAAAAAUGAUCAUGAGGAUGAGGGUCUUGUUGAUGUUGUCUUCCAUAACGCCACAUAAAGCUGUUGUGAGAUGGUGAAUCGUAGCUCUGGGACUGCAGUUUUUUAAUUCGGUUUUUCGGUUGAUUUUGAUUUUGAAAAUGCUAUUGGAAUUAACCGAUUUUUUUUUAAAUCUGAUUUUUCAAUUAGUUUUGGAUAAUUUUGUUUUUUCAGUUAAAUUCGAGUAGUUCAAUUUGGUUCGAUUAUCGAUGAAAAGUAGUUUAAAUUUGGUAAAAAUGGUCUAAUUGUGGUAUGAUCUGGUUAUACAAAAUCAAAUAUUUCAGUUCACCGAGAACUGAAUCGAACCAGAAUACUUGCUUAAUUGAAGUAAAAUCAAAUUUUACCGAUCGGUUAAAGACUUAUAACUAAAUACAUAUUCGAGUGACGAAAAAAAAAAAAAAAAAAAUUCGAAUUGCACAAUACAAAAGUUUCGAUCUUCUAAAUUUAAAUUCAAUUUUGUUACAUAUUUAAGAGGUGAGCUGUUGUACAUAUAUAAUUGCAAACUUUUAUAAAUAUUGUAGUGGGUACUUUACCCAAAAAAAGGAAAAAAAAUAUGUAGUGGAUGUCUAAAAUCCAAGACGAAUUACGAGAUACAUAGUCAUAUAGCUAACAUGUACUGCCUCGUACUCGUAUAUCUGAUGUGUACCUCUUUGUCCUGUAUUAACUAAUCAACUUUAUGUUCGCAAUGGAUCAUGUAUGCCUAAUUUUAAAAUACGACGAUUAAUAAUGGUAUCUUGGCACAGAAAAAUUGUUAUAUCUAAUAAUAUAACCCGUGUUUGUAAUUAAUAAAAAAAUAACUACGACACUAGUCACUGGGGAAAUGGCCUUUUUCAACCUCAACUAUUUGCAGGCGGGUUUUUCCAACCCAAACUAUUACCCCUAGUCGAUUUCAACCCAAACCCAAAAUUAAUUCAAAAUCGAAACCUGAACUAAUGCAAAUGAGCCGAUUUCAACACGACGCGGAACGGUGUUAGUUCGGAAGUUAACGGUUACUCAACCUUGGGUAAUUCUCUCUCUACAACAUUCAUCAAACCUUGAAAAUAAAAUCAAAUAACUUUGAAACUAUUAACUUCCUAACUAACAUUGUUUCACGUCGUGUUGAAAUCGGCUCAUUUACAUUAGUUUAGGUUUUGAUUUUGUAUUAUUUUUGGGUUCGGGUUGAAAUCGACUGAGGGUCAUAGUUUGGAUUGGAAAAACCCGCCAACAAAUAGUUGAGGUUGAAAAAUGCCGUUUUCCCCACUAGUCACUAGGCUUUUGGGUUGUUAAGAAACUUGUUGGUUUAGUGUCGAUUUGAUUAUAUUUGUGUUCAUGAUUAUAUAUUUAUAUUUGACAGCAUACUAAAUCGGUUUUUGUCAGUAUUAUUGGGAAGUUACUUAGGAGAUCUCGGGGAUUACGAGAUCGACUCGAAAAGAAUAUUAACAUUUGUAUAAUAUUCUUUAUUCUUAAAUAGGUAGAUUUUCUAUUAUUAUAUAUGUAACGAACUUGCUAAUCAAGUUAUGAUAUUUGUAUAAAUAAAUAUAUUGGCUAAUGAAUAAAAUUGAGAGAAAUUAUUUUACUAGUAAAGUUUCCUCCAAAUUUAUCAUCAUUAAAAGCCAUUUGUGAUUCUCUAUAUCUUUUUUUUUCUAGAAAAAGAUGAUUGGAGAUGGAUAUAUAUAUAUAUAUAUAUAAUUUUGUGAACAUUGAAACAAAAAGAAAAUAAUAUUUUAGAGAGAGAAUUUUGAGAGAUCAACCGAAAGUGCAUUUGAGCAGUAGUUUGGGGUUGAUUUUCAUUUGUAAUCUUAACCUUGAUUUCUGCGUCAAUUCCCAAAUAAUUUCAUACAAAAGUCAUCACUAAAUCGGCAAAAAUAUAUAUGUUCCGGUUGAACACUUCUGCAUACAAAAAAUAACAUGAUAAUUCCACAUUUGUCUAAUUUUCUAUUAUACGUUUAUCUAAUAAGUAUAUAUAUAAUUGCAAACUUUUACACAUUUAUGUGUUGUUAUCAAAUUCUUUUUUUUUUUUUAAUAAUUUGUUGUCAAAUUCACAUGUUUAAUACUACUAUAGAUUUUUUUUUUUUUGUCAAAGUACUACUAUAGAAAUUUUAUAUCACUUUUAUUCCUCUUUUUUGUUAACUUUUUUCCCUUUCAAAAUUUCAUACCAUUUGGUAUACUUUUUCCCACCAAACUUAUUCACACUGAAUUUCCAAAAAUAUUAUGGAGAACUAUCAAAAUACAAAUAGUUACAUAAACAACAUAUGUAUAAUAAAAUCACGAGAAAAAGUGAAAUUAUAUUACACAAUGCUUUCUUUUUAUUAUCUUAUUUUCUCACCGUCUAUAUUAAUAUCUAGUACUUGAGAUGGAGCAAUUUAAAGAUAGAUGACUUUCCGAGAAGUGAUUAUCGAAAUCAUGUGAGUGAAAAUAAAAACACAGAAAAAAAUCAUGUAGUUGUUUUAUAAAAUCGGUAAACGAGUCUUUAAAAACCCUCUGGAUAUAGCAGACCGGCUGUCAGACACAAAUAAAUUUGCGGACUGAUAAUAUAUGUGAGGCUCAUUAAAAUAGCGGUCGGAACGUUACAAGAAUGCUAUAAAAAAAAAAAAAACACUUUUUGUAUAAAUCAUGUUUUAAAGAAUAUAUAUAUAUAUAUAUAUAUAUAUAUAUUGGUCUACACUCUACAAUUACAGGUGAGAUCGCUACAUUUUAUUUGUUUAUCUUUUGAAAAAUAAUCAUCAAAAUGUUUAAGGAAUUGUAUACUUUUUUGAUAAAAAAAAAUAACUACGCAUUCCCUUUUGGCUUUUGAAUAUAGUAAUUAAAUUUGUUGAAAUCGUGGAUUUUUCCUUAAUAAACAAUCCAAAACACGACCACCGUUGUCUCCUCGACUCGGUAACACCAAUCGCCGACUUGAAAAUAAUAAAAAACAAAUAAUAGAAAGGAAUGAUUAUUGAAGCUGUCAUAUAAAAGCCUAUCACAGUCAAUCCAAGAGCCCAUUUCGCCAACUGAUAAAUCCAACGGCUCAUAAAUUUCCGCUAACAUUUUUAAAAAGUCUAGAUAAAUAAAAAAAAGCUGUCUGACAGCCAGGUCACGUUAUUUUUUUUCCUUAUGGCCGAAAUGAUUCAUCUCUCUCUUAUUUUCAAAAUGAGAAAAAAAAAAAAUGAAAAAUUUCAGAUAAACCCGCCUGUAUAAAUACAUAGUUGAACACACUUAAUAUUCCUCCCCUCUUUGAAUUGUCUCGUCGUCUUCAGCUUCAUCGGCCGUUUUAUUUUCCGGUGAUAAGAGAGAGAGAGAGAUAGGGGAGAGAAAUUGAGCCAGAUCCUCAUCGUCGUGGUUCUUGUUUCUUCCUCGAUCUCUCGAUCUUCUGCUUUUGCUCCUCCGAUUAAGGUAAUUAAAACCUCCGAUCUACUUCUUCUUGUGUUGGAUCUCGGUUACGAUUCCAAGUUACUUCAAAAGAUCUUUCGGAUUUAUGAUUUGAUUGAAUUUUGAUCGGAAAUGUUUUGAUCUUGGCUCCGAUUAGCUCAACAAUUGAUGUUUGACUUGAUGUUCGUUGAAUUCCUUGUUGUAUUUGCCAUGGAUCCUGAUUCUUUCGCUUCUUCUGUCUAUAGAAAUCUGAACUUUGAAAUGUUUGUCGAAGUUUGACUUCAGAAUCUGUUGAUUUAUUGACGGAUGAAGAAACUAAGUGAUCAUCUGGAAUCUGAAUCUGUAACAUUUUGUCAUCCGAUGAGUAUGACUCUAUUGAUACAUUGAAUUGAAUCUAUUGUGAAUGAAAAGCCUGCUUUGAUUAAUCAAGUGUUUGCGUCUUUCUCGAUCAAGAUUCAGAUCUUUAUGUUUUGAUUGCAGCUCGUCGAUCAUGGCCGAGGCUGAUGACAUUCAACCUAUUGUCUGUGACAAUGGUACUGGAAUGGUUAAGGUUAGUCUCUUCUUCCUUACUUUUCGGUUUUAUGGAUUCUCUCUCUUUUGUUAAGAUUUGAGACAAAUUCUUUUGUACAGGCUGGAUUCGCUGGAGAUGAUGCUCCCAGAGCGGUUUUCCCCAGUGUUGUUGGUCGACCUAGACAUCACGGUGUCAUGGUUGGGAUGAAUCAGAAAGAUGCGUAUGUUGGCGAUGAAGCGCAAUCCAAAAGAGGUAUCCUCACAUUGAAAUACCCAAUUGAGCAUGGUGUUGUUAGCAACUGGGAUGACAUGGAAAAGAUUUGGCAUCACACUUUCUACAAUGAGCUCCGUAUUGCUCCUGAAGAGCACCCGGUUCUACUUACUGAGGCUCCUCUUAACCCAAAAGCCAACAGAGAAAAGAUGACUCAGAUCAUGUUCGAGACCUUUAAUUCUCCAGCUAUGUAUGUCGCCAUUCAAGCUGUUCUAUCACUUUACGCCAGUGGUCGUACAACUGGUUAGUACAUUAUUGAUAUUGACAAAACAAAUUUUUGUUUUUCUGUUUUUAAUGAUUAUGUCAUAUUGAUCACAGUGAAAUGAUUUUCUUUAGGUAUUGUGUUGGACUCUGGUGAUGGUGUGUCUCACACUGUGCCAAUUUACGAGGGUUUCUCACUUCCACAUGCUAUCCUCCGUCUUGACCUUGCUGGCCGUGACCUCACUGAUUACCUCAUGAAGAUCCUUACCGAGAGAGGUUACAUGUUUACCACAACAGCAGAACGGGAAAUCGUGAGAGACAUCAAGGAGAAGCUUUCCUUUGUUGCUGUGGACUACGAGCAAGAGAUGGAGACUUCAAAAACCAGCUCCUCCAUCGAGAAGAACUAUGAAUUACCCGACGGACAAGUGAUCACGAUCGGUGCUGAGAGAUUCAGGUGCCCAGAAGUCCUUUUCCAGCCAUCAUUUGUUGGAAUGGAAGCUGCAGGGAUCCACGAGACAACUUACAACUCGAUCAUGAAGUGUGAUGUUGAUAUCAGGAAGGACCUUUACGGUAACAUUGUGCUCAGUGGUGGUACAACUAUGUUCUCAGGUAUUGCAGACCGUAUGAGCAAAGAGAUCACAGCUCUUGCCCCAAGCAGCAUGAAGAUUAAGGUCGUGGCACCACCCGAGAGGAAGUACAGUGUCUGGAUUGGUGGUUCUAUCCUUGCUUCCCUCAGCACUUUCCAGCAGGUAAAAUUUGGACUGCCAUUUCUCAUUUUUUGCUUCUUGCGGUUGAUUAAAUGUAGAAAACUCUUCUAAUUGUUUGCAUUUUCUGUGUGUGUGUAAUCAGAUGUGGAUCUCUAAGGCUGAGUAUGAUGAAGCAGGUCCAGGCAUUGUCCACAGAAAAUGUUUCUAAGCUAAAGAGAAAGCGUUUCCAUGACGGGAUCACAGUUCUUUCUACAAUUCUACUUCUCCAAUUUGUUUGUUUCAAUUUUUUUUCCCCUUUGUCAUUCGUGCACCAUGUGAGAAACUUUCCGGUUAAAGCGUUUGGAGAGGUGUCGAAGGAGGAGCAGGUUUUAAAAACCCGCUCUUGCUCUUACCUGAGGCACAAUUCCACGUUUCAAACUCAGCUUCAUUCUCUAUUCUUGUCC
Molecule: long non-coding RNA, 9651 nt
Filed under: Arabidopsis lyrata
Lineage: Eukaryota; Viridiplantae; Streptophyta; Magnoliopsida; Brassicales; Brassicaceae
Description: long non-coding RNA (ALYR_LNC003284)
Source: RNAcentral